UACGUAGGGAGCGAGCGUUAUCCGGAAUUAUUGGGUGUAAAGGGUGCGUAGACGGGAAAGCAAGUUAGUUGUGAAAUCCCUCGGCUUAACUGAGGAACUGCAACUAAAACUACUUUUCUUGAGUGCAGGAGAGGUAAGUGGAAUUCCUAGUGUAGCGGUGAAAUGCGUAGAUAUUAGGAGGAACACCAGUGGCGAAGGCGACUUACUGGACUGUAACUGACGUUGAGGCACGAAAGUGUG
Molecule: ribosomal RNA, 240 nt
Filed under: uncultured bacterium
Lineage: Bacteria
Description: partial 16S ribosomal RNA
Rfam family: Bacterial small subunit ribosomal RNA
Source: RNAcentral